Molecule: ribosomal RNA, 591 nt
Filed under: uncultured Pseudozyma
Lineage: Eukaryota; Fungi; Basidiomycota; Ustilaginomycetes; Ustilaginales; Ustilaginaceae
Description: eukaryotic LSU rRNA
Rfam family: Eukaryotic large subunit ribosomal RNA
Source: RNAcentral
UAGUACGGCGAGUGAGAGGGAAGAGCCCAAGAUUGAAAGCUGGCGUCUUCGGCGUCCGCAUUGUAAUCUCAAGAAGUGUUUUCCGCUUCGGACCAAGCCUAAGUCCCCUGGAAAGGGGCAUCAUAGAGGGUGAUAAUCCCGUACAUGGCUUGGAGCGCCCGAGGCUUUGUGAUACGCUUUCUAAGAGUAGAGGUGUUUGGGAAUGCAGCUCAAAAUGGGUGGUAAAUGCCAUCUAAGGCUAAAUAUUGGGGAGAGACCGAUAGCGAACAAGUACAGUGAUGGAAAGAUGAAAAGAACUUUGAAAAGAGAGUUAAACAGUACGUGAAAUUGCCAAAAGGGAAGGGUAGGAGGUCAGAGAUGCGGCCUGGGAUUCAGCCUUGCUUUUGCUUGGUGUUUUUCCCAGAUUGCAGGCCAACGUCGGUUUUGGGCACUGGAGAAGGGUAGGAGGAACGUGGCACCCCUCGGGGUGUGUUAUAGCCUCCUACUGGAUACAGCGACCGAGACCGAGGACAGCAGCGUACUCGCAAGAGCGGGCCUUCGGGCACCUUUACGCUUAGGGCGUUGGCAUAAUGGCCCUCUACCACCCGUCUU